Molecule: ribosomal RNA, 194 nt
Filed under: uncultured bacterium
Lineage: Bacteria
Description: partial 16S ribosomal RNA
Rfam family: Bacterial small subunit ribosomal RNA
Source: RNAcentral
GCAACUCGCCUGCAUGAAGUUGGAAUUGCUAGUAAUCGUGGAUCAGCAUGCCACGGUGAAUACGUUCCCGGGCCUUGUACACACCGCCCGUCACACCAUGAGAGUCGGGAACACCCGAAGUCCGUAGUCUAACCGCAAGGAGGACGCGGCCGAAGGUGGGUCUGAUAAUUGGGGUGAAGUCGUAACAAGGUAAC